CCUACGGGGGGCAGCAGUGAGGAAUAUUGGUCAAUGGACGAGAGUCUGAACCAGCCAAGUAGCGUGAAGGAUGACUGCCCUAUGGGUUGUAAACUUCUUUUAUGUGGGAAUAAAACGUUCCACGUGUGGGAUUUUGUAUGUACCAUAUGAAUAAGGAUCGGCUAACUCCGUGCCAGCAGCCGCGGUAAUAUGGAGGAUCCGAGCGUUAUCCGGAUUUAUUGGGUUUAAAGGGAGCGUAGGUGGAUUGUUAAGUCAGUUGUGAAAGUUUGCGGCUCAACCGUAAAAUUGCAGUUGAAACUGGCAGUCUUGAGUACAGUAGAGGUGGGCGGAAUUCGUGGUGUAGCGGUGAAAUGCUUAGAUAUCACGAAGAACUCCGAUUGCGAAGGCAGUUCACUGGACUGCAACUGACACUGAGGCUCGAAAGUGUGGGUAUCAAACAGGAUUAGAUACCCGUGUAGUC
RNAcentral lists this ribosomal RNA (460 nucleotides) under uncultured bacterium. RNAcentral describes it as "partial 16S ribosomal RNA". It matches the Rfam family "Bacterial small subunit ribosomal RNA", at positions 338 to 795 of the family's 1533-position model. The record is from RNAcentral.